UCAACCUGCACAACACCAUACC
This 22-nucleotide non-coding RNA is filed under the name Arabidopsis thaliana (thale cress). The record is from RNAcentral. Lineage: Eukaryota; Viridiplantae; Streptophyta; Magnoliopsida; Brassicales; Brassicaceae.